Long non-coding RNA from Sebastes umbrosus (honeycomb rockfish), 732 nucleotides. RefSeq lists it as uncharacterized. The transcript is spliced from 2 exons. Lineage: Eukaryota; Metazoa; Chordata; Actinopteri; Perciformes; Sebastidae. The record is from RefSeq and is a predicted model, not a curated record.
AUCAAUUAGCUAAAGUCUUUGUCCGAACAGUUCAUGUUGAAGCUGUAGGCUAGUUAGAGAAAUAUUUCAAUCUAUGGAAGAUGUGGAACAUUUUACUGUUUGAAUGGAGUUUCUAGGUGAAAGUAUGAAUGAGCAGUGAAGAGUUGAAAAUGCUUGAAAAUGUUUAAAUUCGGAACAUUGUCUUCCAUUCAUUUCAAUGGAGAAUUUUUGAUGAAUUACGGUUAAUAAUUCUGAAAAUAUGAAAGUUAUGAAUGAGAGAAGUAAUAGCCAUCGAUUCCUAAUUGAGCUGCACGUUUUGAUGUUUGAAUGGAGUUUCUAUUUUGAAAAAUUCUGAUUACUGUCCCAAAGGAAUGAGAUUUUUCAUGGAUAGCAGCAACAGCAGGACUGUUGAAACUUGUCUGAGGUAUUUCAGACACUUACAGUAAAGUACAUGUGAGGUAAAACCAACCAGGCUGCCAAGAAGAAUAUUACCCCUCAUACCACCACUUACACAAACCACAGACUGACUCUCUGGUGGUGAAACUGGUCUGACUCCAUGUUGAAACCUGGAUCUAUAGAAACGCACAUCCUGCCCAGACACAUCUCACUAACUCUCCCACGCAGUUUUUAGGGUGUGUUUACUCCGGGCGUGUUUGGAUUCAGGAGGUGUAGCCUAUAUUGGAUUAGGGAGUGGUUGGUUUGGUUCAUUCGACCUUAAUGAGAACACAGAUGCAAAAAAACAACGCAAAGUGA